ACAGGACGGGUUGGCUACAGCGCAGCUGCGGCUGCGCGAGCUCGGCCACGAGAAGGACUCGCUGCAGCGCCAGCUCAGCAUCGCGCUGCCCCAGGUCUGGGCGGGACAGGGGCGGGGCCUGAGGGGGCGGGGCCUCGGCUGAGAAGGCGGUCCGGAAGGGGCCGGGCUUGGCGCCUGGAAGGGAGGAGUCUGGGCGAGGCUUGCCGUUAAUGGGCGGGGCCUGAGUGGCAAGGGACAGCGGGACUUAGCAGGGAGGGCGGGACCUUCAAACUUCCAGUCCCAGUGAAUGAAGGAGACAGGGAAAGGAUUGAGCUGAAUGUCCCGAUCCUGCCAAUGUCUGGACAGGAGUUUGCAGCUCUGACGAAGGAGCUGAACUUAUGUCGGGAGCAGCUGCUGGAGAGGGAGGAAGAGAUUGCAGAGCUGAAGGCGGAACGGAACAACACGCGGCUGCUCCUGGAACACCUGGAGUGCCUGGUGUCCAGGCACGAGAGGUCACUGCGCAUGACCGUGGUGAAGCGCCAGGCCCAGUCCCCGGGUGGGGUCUCCUCAGAGGUAGAAGUGCUCAAGGCUCUAAAGUCUCUCUUCGAGCACCACAAGGCCCUGGAUGAGAAGGUCCGGGAGCGGCUGCGGAUGGCGCUGGAGCGCGUGGCAGUGCUCGAGGAGGAGCUGGAACUGAGCAAUCAGGAGACUCUUGCCAAUGGCCUGGGUCCUGGCGGGGAUUCCAACCGGCGCACAGCA
Molecule: small RNA, 738 nt
Filed under: Pongo abelii (Sumatran orangutan)
Lineage: Eukaryota; Metazoa; Chordata; Mammalia; Primates; Hominidae
Description: retained intron
Source: RNAcentral